Molecule: ribosomal RNA, 88 nt
Filed under: Aeromonas hydrophila
Lineage: Bacteria; Pseudomonadati; Pseudomonadota; Gammaproteobacteria; Aeromonadales; Aeromonadaceae
Also listed under: 3 other names
Source: RNAcentral
CCUGGCGGCCAUAGCGCCGUGGAACCACCUGAUCCCAUGCCGAACUCAGAAGUGAAACGCGGUAGCGCCGAUGGUAGUGUGGCAUUCG